GUCACGUGACUCCGUGUCACGUGGGAAAUACAUUCUUCUGGGCUGGACAAAAGGAUGGGUGGUAUAUUCAUCACAAGGCCGGAUGACGUGACUCUUAGAAGACGACAAUACCCGGCAAACCGGAAGGCUGUCGGAGAAUGAGGAAGAGCACAUUACAGGUGGAGUUACUCAAUCAUGGAAACCACAGCAUGAUUAUUUGAAGACUUAACUAGCAGUACUGCAAUUGGAUUCAUAGAAUAAGAAUUGGAUAAAAGAACAUGGGAAAUGCAGACAAUUAACAAAA
Molecule: long non-coding RNA, 283 nt
Organism: Anolis carolinensis (green anole)
Lineage: Eukaryota; Metazoa; Chordata; Lepidosauria; Squamata; Anolidae
Exons: 2
Source: RefSeq, a predicted model, not a curated record